This 294-nucleotide ribosomal RNA is filed under the name uncultured bacterium. RNAcentral describes it as "partial 16S ribosomal RNA". It matches the Rfam family "Bacterial small subunit ribosomal RNA", at positions 775 to 1068 of the family's 1533-position model. The record is from RNAcentral.
GGAUUAGAUACCCUGGUAGUCCAUGCCGUAAACGAUGUGUGUUAGACGUUGGAAAUUUAUUUUCAGUGUCGCAGCGAAAGCGAUAAACACACCGCCUGGGGAGUACGACCGCAAGGUUAAAACUCAAAUGAAUUGACGGGGACCCGCACAAGUAGUGGAGCAUGUGGUUUAAUUCGAAGAUACGCGCAGAACCUUACCAACACUUGACAUGUUCGUCGCGACUUUAAGAGAUUAAAGUUUUCGGUUCGGCCGGACGAAACACAGGUGCUGCAUGGCUGUCGUCAGCUCUGCUGC